UCGAUGAAGGGCGCAGCAAACUGCGAUAAGUCUUGGCUAGGCGUAGGCAGCCUUUGAACCAAGAAUUCCCUAAUGUGAAUUCAUACUAGCUUCGGCUAGUGAUUCGAAAGAAUCGAUAACCCGCUGGAUUGAAGCAUCUUAGUAAGCGGAGGAAAAGAAAACGAAUGUUAUUCCGUUAGUAACGGCGAGUAAAAACGGAAAAGAGUGAACCGAAUUGCUGUAGAAAUACAGUUAAGAUGUGGAGCCUGGUACAACUUCGCUAGUUGAUUUGAAGUCUGCUGGGAAGCAGUCCCAUAGAUGGUGAUAGGCCAGUAAAAGAAAACUAGAAAGCUGAUUCAGGAAACGAGUACCAUUCCUUGAAUGGGGAGUGGAAAGGUGGUCGUCAUCAACGACUAACUCUAAAUAUCUCGAAAGUCUGAUAGCGAAUAAGUAAGGUGACUGAAAGCUGAGAAGUAUUCUUCACCGGAGGUGAAAAGAUCUUGAAACCUAUUGGCGAUCGUCAUCCAUGGUCUGAAAGGUUCUCUUGCGAAGGAAAACUGCGCAAGCAGUAUAUACGAGCAAGAGAUUACAGGAUUAUGGAGUCCGUUUAGAAACACGGAGCAGGGAGUUUGUUUUUGUGGCGAGAGUAAUUUGUUAAGCAAAGUAUUCGUAGCGAAAGCAAAAGUGUGUAGCGCAAGUAUGACACUAGGUCUGAAAGGGCCUGAAGUCACAGGGACAAGACCAGAAACCGCUUGAUCUAAUCCCAAUCAAGAUGAAGCGUAGCGAAAGCUGCGUGGAGGUCUGAACCGAUGUUGGAGAAACCACUCGGAUGAAUUGGGGUUAGGGGUGAAAAGCCAAUCGAAAGUGGUGAU
This 851-nucleotide ribosomal RNA is filed under the name Candidatus Aenigmatarchaeota archaeon. Its description in RNAcentral is "partial 23S ribosomal RNA". It matches the Rfam family "Archaeal large subunit ribosomal RNA", at positions 46 to 924 of the family's 2987-position model. The record is from RNAcentral. Lineage: Archaea; Nanobdellati; Candidatus Aenigmatarchaeota.